CCCUUAGAUGUUCUGGGCCGCACGCGUGCUACACUGAGUGGAUCAGCGGGUCAGGUUGCGCGAAAGUGUUUCCUAAUCUUUAAAUCCGCUCGUGAUGGGGAUUGACGGUUGCAAUUUUCCGUCAUGAACGAGGAAUACCUUGUAAGCGCGGGUCAUCAUCCCGCGCUGAAUACGUCCCUGCCCUUUGUACACACCGCCCGUCGCUCCUACCGAUUGGAUGGUCCGGUGAAGCCUCGGGAUUGUGGUUCUUGCCGCUUUAUUGUGGCGUGACCGCGAGAACUUGUCUAAACCUUAUCAUCUAGAGGAAGGUGAAGUCGUAACA
RNAcentral lists this ribosomal RNA (322 nucleotides) under uncultured eukaryote. Its description in RNAcentral is "partial 18S ribosomal RNA". It matches the Rfam family "Eukaryotic small subunit ribosomal RNA", at positions 1470 to 1796 of the family's 1831-position model. The record is from RNAcentral.